CCUACGGGAGGCAGCAGUGGGGAAUAUUGGUCAAUGGCCGGAAGGCUGAACCAGCCAUGCCGCGUGAAGGUCAGUGCCCUAUGGGCGUUAAACUUCUUUUGUGCGGGAGCAAUAAUGGUCACGUGUGGCCAGACGAGAGUACCGUACGAAUAAGCAUCGGCUAACUCCGUGCCAGCAGCGGCGGUAAUACGGGGGAUGCAAGCGUGAUCCGGAUUUAUUGGGUGUAAAGGGUGCGUAGACUGGGAGGUACGUGAGCGGUGAAAUGCCCCCGCUCAACGGGGUGACGUGCCAUUGAUACUGCCGUGCUGGAAUGCGGAUGCCGUGGGAGGAAUGUGUGGUGUAGCGGUGAAAUGCAUAGAUAUCACACAGAACACCGAUUGCGAAGGCAUCUCACGAAUCCGCGAUUGACGCUGAGGCACGAAAGCGUGGGUAUCAAACAGGAUUAGAUACCCUAGUAGUC
RNAcentral lists this ribosomal RNA (460 nucleotides) under uncultured bacterium. Its description in RNAcentral is "partial 16S ribosomal RNA". It matches the Rfam family "Bacterial small subunit ribosomal RNA", at positions 338 to 795 of the family's 1533-position model. The record is from RNAcentral.